Non-coding RNA from Monopterus albus (swamp eel), 72 nucleotides. The record is from the annotation of a RefSeq genome assembly. Lineage: Eukaryota; Metazoa; Chordata; Actinopteri; Synbranchiformes; Synbranchidae.
UCCCUGAUGGUCUGGUGGCUAGGCUUCAGUGCUCUCACCACUGCGGCCUGGGUUCGAUUCCCAGUCGGGGAA